RNAcentral lists this ribosomal RNA (492 nucleotides) under uncultured bacterium. RNAcentral describes it as "partial 16S ribosomal RNA". It matches the Rfam family "Bacterial small subunit ribosomal RNA", at positions 29 to 507 of the family's 1533-position model. The record is from RNAcentral.
AGUGAACGCUGGCGGUAGGCCUAACACAUGCAAGUCGAACGGCAGCACAGUAAGAGCUUGCUCUUACGGGUGGCGAGUGGCGGACGGGUGAGGAAUACAUCGGAAUCUACUUUUUCGUGGGGGAUAACGUAGGGAAACUUACGCUAAUACCGCAUACGACCUACGGGUGAAAGCAGGGGAUAUUCGGACCUUGCGCGAAUGAAUGAGCCGAUGUCGGAUUAGCUAGUUGGCGGGGUAAAGGCCCACCAAGGCGACGAUCCGUAGCUGGUCUGAGAGGAUGAUCAGCCACACUGGAACUGAGACACGGUCCAGACUCCUACGGGAGGCAGCAGUGGGGAAUAUUGGACAAUGGGCGCAAGCCUGAUCCAGCCAUACCGCGUGGGUGAAGAAGGCCUUCGGGUUGUAAAGCCCUUUUGUUGGGAAAGAAAAGCAGCAGGUUAAUACCCCGCUGUUCUGACGGUACCCAAAGAAUAAGCACCGGCUAACUUCGUG